GGACCAGUAGUGUAGUGGUAACGCGUUGCGUCCGGGCGUGAAGGGGAGUGGUUCGAUUCCCUCCUGGUGCA
Molecule: transfer RNA, 71 nt
Filed under: Gongylonema pulchrum
Lineage: Eukaryota; Metazoa; Nematoda; Chromadorea; Rhabditida; Gongylonematidae
Rfam family: tRNA
About the family: Transfer RNA (tRNA) molecules are approximately 80 nucleotides in length. Their secondary structure includes four short double-helical elements and three loops (D, anti-codon, and T loops).
Source: Rfam by way of RNAcentral